RNAcentral lists this ribosomal RNA (253 nucleotides) under uncultured bacterium. RNAcentral describes it as "partial 16S ribosomal RNA". It matches the Rfam family "Bacterial small subunit ribosomal RNA", at positions 524 to 776 of the family's 1533-position model. The record is from RNAcentral.
GACGAACCGUGCGAACGUUGUUCGGAAUCACUGGGCUUAAAGGGCGCGUAGGCGGUCUGCCAAGUCAGGGGUGAAAGCCUCCAGCUUAACUGGAGAAGUGCCCUUGAUACUGGCGGACUCGAGGGAGGCAGGGGUCGUGGGAACUUCCGGUGGAGCGGUGAAAUGCGUUGAUAUCGGAAGGAACGCCGGUGGCGAAAGCGCACGACUGGUCCUCUUCUGACGCUGAGGCGCGAAAGCCAGGGGAGCAAACGGG